Molecule: ribosomal RNA, 617 nt
Filed under: Bathycoccus prasinos
Lineage: Eukaryota; Viridiplantae; Chlorophyta; Mamiellophyceae; Mamiellales; Bathycoccaceae
Description: SSU rRNA
Rfam family: Eukaryotic small subunit ribosomal RNA
Source: RNAcentral
GGGCGCGGUCGGCCGUUUGGUCUGUACUGCGUUGUCUUGACUUCCUGAUGAGGACAUGCUCUUGGUUAACGCUGAGACAUGGAGUCAUCGUGGUUACUUUGAAAAAAUUAGAGUGUUCAAAGCGGGCUUACGCUUGAAUAUAUUAGCAUGGAAUAACACUAUAGGACUCCUGUCCUAUCUCGUUGGUCUCGGGAUGGGAGUAAUGAUUAAGAGGAACAGUUGGGGGCAUUCGUAUUUCAUUGUCAGAGGUGAAAUUCUUGGAUUUAUGAAAGACGAACUUCUGCGAAAGCAUUUGCCAAGGAUGUUUUCAUUAAUCAAGAACGAAAGUUGGGGGCUCGAAGAUGAUUAGAUACCAUCCUAGUCUCAACCAUAAACGAUGCCGACUAGGGAUUGGUGGAUGUUAAUUGAUGACUUCACCAGCACCUUAUGAGAAAUCAAAGUUUUUGGGUUCCGGGGGGAGUAUGGUCGCAAGGCUGAAACUUAAAGGAAUUGACGGAAGGGCACCACCAGGCGUGGAGCCUGCGGCUUAAUUUGACUCAACACGGGGAAACUUACCAGGUCCAGACAUAAGUAUGAUUGACAGAUUGAGAGCUCUUUCUUGAUUCUAUGGGUGGUGG